AAUCAACGCUGGCGGCGUGCCUCAGACAUGCAAGUCGAACGCGAAAGCCCCCUUCGGGGGGCAAGUAGAGUGGCGCACGGGUGAGUAACACGUAGGUAAUCUACCUUUGGAUGGGGAAUAACAACCGGAAACGGUUGCUAAUACCGCAUAAUGCAGCGGCACCUAAUGGUGACAGUUGUUAAAGCGGGGGAUCGAAAGACCUCGCGUCUGAAGAGGAGCCUGCGGCGGAUUAGCUAGUGGUAAGGUAACGGCUUACCAAGGCGACGAUCCGUAGUCGGCCUGAGAGGGCGGUCGGCCACACUGACACUGACACACGGGUCAGACUCCUACGGGAGGCAGCAGUCGGGAAUUUUGGGCAAUGGGCGAAAGCCUGACCCAGCAACGCCGCGUGAAGGAUGAAAUCCCUCGGGAUGUAAACUUCGCAAGAACGGGAAGAAUAAGUAGGGGAC
Molecule: ribosomal RNA, 449 nt
Filed under: uncultured bacterium
Lineage: Bacteria
Description: bacterial SSU rRNA
Rfam family: Bacterial small subunit ribosomal RNA
Source: RNAcentral